GUCGGCGUGGUGUAAUGGCAGCAUUUUGACUCUUACCAAGUUAAUGGUGCGGGUUCAAUUCCCGUCACCGACUCCG
RNAcentral lists this transfer RNA (76 nucleotides) under Candidatus Planktophila dulcis. Its description in RNAcentral is "tRNA-Val". It matches the Rfam family "tRNA". Rfam says of the family: Transfer RNA (tRNA) molecules are approximately 80 nucleotides in length. Lineage: Bacteria; Bacillati; Actinomycetota; Actinomycetes; Candidatus Nanopelagicales; Candidatus Nanopelagicaceae. The record is from RNAcentral.